UCCUACGGGGGGCAGCAGUGAGGGAUAUUGGUCAAUGGGGGAAACCCUGAACCAGCAACGCCGCGUGAGGGAAGACGGCUUUCGGGUUGUAAACUUCUUUUAAGGGGGAAGAGCAGAAGACGGUACCCCUUGAAUAAGCCACGGCUAACUACGUGCCAGCAGCCGCGGUAAUACGUAGGUGGCAAGCGUUGUCCGGAUUUACUGGGUGUAAAGGGCGUGCAGCCGGAGAGACAAGUCAGAUGUGAAAUCCACGGGCUCAACCCGUGAACUGCAUUUGAAACUGUUUCCCUUGAGUGUCGGAGAGG
RNAcentral lists this ribosomal RNA (305 nucleotides) under uncultured bacterium. RNAcentral describes it as "bacterial SSU rRNA". It matches the Rfam family "Bacterial small subunit ribosomal RNA", at positions 337 to 657 of the family's 1533-position model. The record is from RNAcentral.